GCCCUUAUAGCUCAGUGGUAGAGCGCAUCACUCGUACUACGGUACGUUAAUUUGCGUUAUGCCUGCGUAAUGAUGAGGUCCAUUGUUCGAUCCAGUGUGGGGGCA
Ceratobasidium sp. 395 is the source of this 105-nucleotide non-coding RNA. NCBI's taxonomy places the organism in Eukaryota, Fungi, Basidiomycota, Agaricomycetes, Cantharellales, Ceratobasidiaceae. The record is from the annotation of a GenBank genome assembly.